CUUUAGGGCUUCCUCCAAGAAAAAAAAACCAAAAAACAAAAAUCAAAUCAAAAAAAAAAAAAAAAAAAAAGGCAGGGGGGGGAGAGAAAAAGAUGAUGAAUCUUUCCAUGCUGGAUGAAAGCGGCCUGUCUUGACUAUUUACCCAGCAAUUAUAAGUAAAUCGGUGGUGCCUAAAGGGGCUGGUUGCCAUAGUUACAAUAGGAUUGGAAGGACCAUCAUUUGGUCCUGGCCGCAGCCAAUCAGGCUGAGAAGCCAAAGCUGCAAUAUAAAGUAAAGAUUCCCAUCUUCCAGCCACACAGUUGCCAAGAAAGGGAAAUAGGUUCAAGAGUGUUGGAAAGUGCUCCGGACAGCAAGCAGGGCGGCUGCUCCCGUCAUGGCGGACUGCGAAAACCCAGCCGGCGCGCGACGCAGCGGGGCAGGCAGGUGAGAAAUCCCAACGCUCCCCAUCUCCCCGGUCAUUGUUCUCCUUCGCCACGGCCCCCGCCGCCCCACCCCACCCGCGGCCACCACCGACCCCCUCGCCCCAGCCCCAAAACCCACAAUGAAACCCCCUUCGGGCGAGAGACAAAGAGAUCCGUGCGGAAAAACGCUCCACCAUUCUCCCCAAAUUGUGAUCGUAGGCCUUUCAAAUCAAAUUUCGCAAAGCAGCUUCAUCAAAGGCCCCCAGCUGGGAGACGCAGCCCCAUAUUCCUGCCGCCCACACGGCCCCCCCAGGUCUUGGAUGGUGCGACAAUCGCACACAAAGUCAGCGCGGCUCGAGAAGUGUGUUUGCAAGAAAAGGGGGGAAGAAAGAGAAAAAGCGAGAGCGAGAAAGAGCGGCGCCUAAAUUGAUCAUAGUCUCCAAAUCUCAUUACUCGAGACUUCUGAGGACGGAUAUUUCCAAAGGCUGCUAUUAAAGACUUGUAAAUGGAGCCCCUUUAUGAGAUCAAAGCCCAAGGGCCGGGCGCAGGGCGUGCGGUGGCUGUUGUGGCGGUGGCGGAGGGGCGAGCGGAGCCGCAGGAUGCUGGGGGAGCCUUCCUCCCCUGCUGCUGCUGCCCUCCAUGUUUCCAGUGUCGCUGCUGCCGCUGCGUGACCCAUCUUGCAAUGGAUACUGCGAGCGUGAUGUCGGGCAGAGCCGAACGCCGCCCCGGCUCCCGGCGACUGGAACGGAGAUGGGCGAACUCCACCACCCGCAGCGCCGGGGAUGGAGAGAGAGUUCCCAAACUCAAGCAGCUCCCUUCCAAAACGCCAUAGUAAUAAAUGAGCCGAUUCCAGUCGGGACCUCUCGGGACACCUCGCCUUGCAGAUCAGCUCGCGGCACGGGGCGCUGGCUCCGCGGGGCCGUCCUGGCCUCAGGUCUUCUCCGUUGGGUCCCUUUUUGUCCCCAAGUUGCGGCAUCUCGCCGCCUUGCUGGCCAUGGGCAGAAGGGGGCCGAGGACAAAGGGAGGUGGACAGAAGUUGCACGACUUUUCUCUUCCCGCUGCCUCCCCUCUGAUAAGGGCUGAUUUCUGUUGUCGGUGACACGUUCAGCUCCGGGCAGCAUUCCCAGCACCGGCACCACCAGCAGGCAGGCGCCCCAUCAUAUUCAUGGAAAGCAAACUCACAGAUGGUAAAAUAACAGAGUCGUGUAUGUUUCAAAGAGACCUUCUAUGUCAAUUGUUAUAUUAUUAGGUAAACUCUAAGAAGAAAAUCUUUUAAUCCACUGUGGCUAAUCCAGUCCACUUUUGUUGGCCAGGACAUAUUCAGCAUCAACAAAAGGCUCUGGCCAACGAACACCGGCAUACAUAAUGUAUUUAUAACUCCGGGAGCUGGCUGGGCAGCUCCCAGAAAGAGACGCUCCUCGGGCCCGCAGCAGGGGCCGGAGUGGAGGAUUUGCCCAACUUUUAUCAGUUUUCUUUUCAUUUCAAAGAACCCGACCGAUAUUUUCACUGCGUCGCUUACCAGGAGAGGCACAAAGAGGGCAGGGACAUUCCUGGCUCCAGCCAGCCCUCAGCCCGGACCCGCUGGGAUCUGCACCCUUCAUCUCCCUCCCCUGUGUCCUGGGCAGCACGGGGAUGCAGGAUGGCUGGGCCUGAGGAAACACAUCCAGGCAGCAGGCAGGGAGCGUGGGGCCCUGAGGUGCCCGGAGUGCCGGGACGGAGGCGGAUGGGACAGGGAGCAGCGUGCCUUCUGGGAGGAUGGAGUGCUUCAGUGACGCGGGCAGAGCAGCACCGCUGGGACACACGGAGACUGCAUCCCAUCCACGGCCACCCGAGAGGAGCACAGAGCCCAGCAGCACAGAGCAUGGAGAGGCAAGCCUGGGGACAAAGACCCAAGACGGAUCCCACAGGCCAUUGAUGAAAAUGCUGAAUAGCACUGGGCUUCACAUCAAACCCUGCGGACACCCACUGAGCGUGCUCCCAUUCUGCAAGGAUUCCCCAUUGAUGCCUGUCGGUUUGCCAGCUCCCCGUCCCUUUAAGGUGUCCCUCUUGAUGUUGCAUUGUGCUAAUUUUUAAUCAGAAUGCUAUAUGGAUUAAGUCA
Long non-coding RNA from Gallus gallus (chicken), 2499 nucleotides. The record is from Ensembl. Lineage: Eukaryota; Metazoa; Chordata; Aves; Galliformes; Phasianidae.